Molecule: ribosomal RNA, 492 nt
Filed under: uncultured bacterium
Lineage: Bacteria
Description: partial 16S ribosomal RNA
Rfam family: Bacterial small subunit ribosomal RNA
Source: RNAcentral
AGUGAACGCUGGCGGUAGGCCUAACACAUGCAAGUCGAACGGCAGCACAGUAAGAGCUUGCUCUUACGGGUGGCGAGUGGCGGACGGGUGAGGAAUACAUCGGAAUCUACUUUUUCGUGGGGGAUAACGUAGGGAAACUUACGCUAAUACCGCAUACGACCUACGGGUGAAAGCAGGGGAUCUUCGGACCUUGCGCGAUUGAAUGAGCCGAUGUCGGAUUAGCUAGUUGGCGGGGUAAAGGCCCACCAAGGCGACGAUCCGUAGCUGGUCUGAGAGGAUGAUCAGCCACACUAGAACUGGGACACGGUCCAGACUCCUACGGGAGGCAGCAGUGGGGAAUAUUGGACAAUGGGCGCGAGCCUGAUCCAGCCAUACCGCGUGGGUGGAGAAGGCCUUCGGGUUGUAAAGCCCUUUUGUUGGGAAAGAAAAGCAGCAGGUUAAUACCCCGCUGUUCUGACGGUACCCAAAGAAUAAGCACCGGCUAACUUCGUG